Molecule: ribosomal RNA, 466 nt
Filed under: uncultured bacterium
Lineage: Bacteria
Description: bacterial SSU rRNA
Rfam family: Bacterial small subunit ribosomal RNA
Source: RNAcentral
CGGCAGGCUUAACACAUGCAAGUCGAGGGGUAUUGGUUUUCGGUACCAAGAGACCGGCGCACGGGUGCGUAACGCGUAUGCAAUCUACCUUUUGUCAGAGGGAUAGCCCAGAGAAAUUUGGAUUAAUACCUCAUAGUAUGUGAGAAUGGCAUCAUUUCACAUUAAAGUCACAACGGCAAAAGAUGAGCAUGCGUCCCAUUAGCUUGUUGGUAAGGUAACGGCUUACCAAGGCAACGAUGGGUAGGGGUCCUGAGAGGGAGAUCCCCCACACUGGUACUGAGACACGGACCAGACUCCUACGGGAGGCAGCAGUGAGGAAUAUUGGACAAUGGGCGCAAGCCUGAUCCAGCCAUGCCGCGUGCAGGAUGACGGUCCUAUGGAUUGUAAACUGCUUUGUACAGGAAGAAACACUGGUUCGUGAACCAGCUUGACGGUACUGUAAGAAUAAGGAUCGGCUAACUCCGUG